GAGGGAUAUACGUAUCUAUAGGUUACAGGCAAGUGAGUAGUGUCGUACAGCAGCAUCCAUGGGACAGCAGCGGUCUUCUCUAACGAUGCCCACAGCUUCCGCUCCCCUCGGCCACUACUGUAUGAGAACUUCCAAGCACAGUUAAUUAGCAGCUGCGGGUCUCCUCCCGGCUGAGGGAACAUGCAUAGGAAUGCUCUGUAACUUCAGUUCUAAGAGCUGGAUCUGACACGUAACGCUGUAAAGAACUGUUAAAUGGUAAUUGGGGACCCGACACCGUCCCUCAGGAGGGGAACUCACUCCACUCCCACCCCGCGCACACCGCUGCGUAUCCGCGGAGCGCCGCCCGCCCCGAGAGUCGCCCCGGGGUGGGAUUUGGCAGUUCGGUCCAUCUGUAGCGGAGCCCGUCCCGGAGCCGCCGGGGGAAGGCGGUGCGGCGCUCCCAGCAGCGUGGGGGUGGGGGCGGCGGCCCCGGGAGGGUUCUCAUUGCGUUCGCUCUGCCGGAGCCCGACCCUCCCCUUUCACCGAAGCCCCGGCGACGCACGCAGGGCGCUGGGUUGUUUUCCGAACGCUCAGUCGAGUAGAAACGGACCGCGCCACUCCUCCAUCACCGCACGUCAGCCACAAGAAAUAAAUACACCGUCACUUUAUUGCCCCGGGCGGUCCUCGGCGCGCGGCCUUCCGAGCAGCCCGUGCCGGCGGCCUUUCCCCGGCGGGAGCGACGCGAUCCCGGCGGAGGGCCGAGCCGCGGCCCGGGGCGCCGUCCUCGCGCGGUCGGACGGGCCGGGCCGGGCCGGGCGGGGCUCCCCGCGCCGAUGUCCGCCUCCCCUCGCGGCCGGGCGCUCCGCGGCGUUCCCUCCGGUCCCGAGGGCCGGCGCGCGGCGGGCGCCGCCUCAGGGGCAGACGCGGGGCCCCGGGUACGGCUCUCCCCCGCACCAGAAGUCGGCGGCCGGCGCGGUCUCCAGCAGCCACACCUCCCUCGGCAGCGCGGGCUCGGCGCCGGCCGGCGGCCCCUCCAGCAGGCGGUAGUAGUGGCAGUCCCGGCCGUGCUCGGGGUCGUAGGGCGGCGCCAGGAUGUCGAGGAAGGCGGCGGGGCCCUCCACCGCGUCGAUCUGGUGCAGCACAAAAUUAGACUGUUUUGUGGAAGCAGAAAUGCUUGGUAGUGGUAGGACUCUGUGCGCUUGCCUAGCAUGCCAUUGCAAGGACAAUCAGCAUGGAAAACCAGGACUUUGAGCUCUGCAUCUCUGCUUGAUCUUGACUUGCUGGUUGAUACCAGGAGCUGCUUCCCAGAUCCUCUUGAUUCGGUUCGAGAAGUUAGAAUUACCUGUAAUCAUUGGUAAACCAAAAGUCCCGAAUGGAGAACAAUGACAGGCGCCCACCGAGAAGAGCUACUGAUGACUGAGUUUAAGACAAGCUAGUGCUGAGAGAAUACCUUCAUCAUUUCAAAAACAUCCAGCUCCCACCUGUGCUUUGGGAUGUGAAAGAAUGACGUUGGCAGGUAGAGGCCUCAAGUUCCUCUCGGAUGCAUCUGGACCAUUUUAUUAGGGAGUCCACUGAGCCUGUGAUCAGCCUGAGUGCAGCUGAUGGUGAGCAGCGCCAAGGUGUGGUACUGAGCUGCUGAUCAAAUUGGUGUAUUUCAGAAGACCUGAAAAAAUUAGAUGAUUGAAACAUCACUCGUAAGCCACAGCUUCACCAUGAGGACUUUAGGAAAAGCAUGGCUGCACAGAGUACCUUCACCAGCAAUCUUCCAGGCUCCGACAAAACUAUUGUUCUUGAAGACCAGAAAGAUUGUUAUUGAGCUUUCCACAAAGCUGAAAUAAUGCUGUGUGUUAAAAAAAUGUUAACAAUUUGAAGAAGUUAUAAAAAUUUAUAAGUUGACUGAAUACUUUGGAAAUUUCUGCAUAUUUUAAUAUAAAUAGAAAAUCAAAGAAAUCGUGGAAGAUGGAGGAGUUAUUUCAGAUGCAUUUGGUGCAGUGAUGAGCUCAAACUUUAUUCGAAACUAUUAUGGUAAAAUAGAACAAGAAGAUACAAAAGAGAGAAAGAAGGAAUAGAAAGUGGUGGAAGGGAAGGGCCUCUGGACUGGUUCUCCUGCUCUGCAGCACAGUUACUUGCCUUUCUCGUUGAGGCUCUUGGUCAUCCCAUCUACCACGGUCAAGAAGACUGCCACAUACAGAUAUGGUGAUCAGUAUGUCUGGUCCAGUUUGAAUGCCCUGUCCUGGAGUGGGAAGCAAGUUCUGCACUGUAUGUGGAUGAAGUUAAUCAGUUUGCAGUAACAAAGUGUUGGAAGGGACUUCAAGAGCUUAUCUAUACAGAGCUGGCCAGCCUGUGCCUUGGAGGCCUGCUGGGGAGAGGUGACAUUCAAGUGAUGAAGAAAUAGGAGUCUGCACCAUUCGUCAGCCUAGCGAGAAGGCGGCUCUAUGCUCACUUUGAAAGAGGGCAGUGCAAAAGUUACCUAGCGAUGUGAGUACUCUGGGCACGGCGGAGGAGCUUCCCACUGAAUGCGGCACAGCGGCACAGCUGCUGAGGAGAGCAUGGCAACAGCAAGAAAUGGAAUUCACUGAAGAAAGCGCUUGACAAGCCAUGUGAGAACCAGCGUGAGCAGCCAGUGGGCACAGCCCCAUCUUCUUGGGUGUGUUUGAACAUGAGAUUCACCACAUCUGAGAGGACUGGCAUAGCAGCUCAGCCCAGCUAGGCUGGCAGCUGCUCUAGGGAUGCUGUGGGAAAGGGCGCAGGAACAGAUGGAGAGUAGUCCUUUCCAGGCUUGACUGUCCUGCAUUCAGGAGGUUGUAUGAGGAGCCCAGGGAACAGACUCAGCUUUCAGCUUGGGCUGAAGUUAUGGCUGGGUGGCAGAGCAAAUCGUGGGAAGGUGUGCGACGUGCAGUGGGAGGCACUGAGCCGCUCUGGGCAGUCUCCCAGCCUGGCCCCUGCACUGGACACUGAAGUGGUUCUCCACAACAUGUGCACGAGGGAAAAGCAUGUCUGCAAACGAGCUGUGCGCUUGGAGAUGAGAAUGUAGCUUUAAUGUGGAGGUUUGCACAUUGAGAUGCACUGACCUACUGGGACAGUUAAUGUGUUUCUGGACUUGCACAUCCCCUGUUUUCAGGCAAACAUUUCAUGCAGAUUUGUAACAUGCGAUAGCUGCCAAGCAUCUUUUACAUAGUCACAGUCUAGUGACUGAAGGAUCCACUAAUUAAGAAGCCCUUAAUUAGGCUUUUAAAUGAUAAACUGUAAUAGCUCUAGUGCAGCUGUUGUAAACUGUAGAGUAAAUUAUACCCAGUUGAAAGAGGCUUUAAUUACGUAUUUAUAUAACAGACUUUAAGGACUUUGAAAGAUAAAAGAAUUUUUAGUGUCUGCAAUUAAAGAAACAAGAGAGUAACAAUAGGGCUCUUAAACCAAUGAAAGCAAGGAAAUUCAAAAUUAAUCUGCAAAGUCACACUGGUACUUUGUUUUAUGCUCGUGGCAUUCUAAUUUUGGGGGUUUGUUUUUAUUCUUUUUGUUUCCAUAAUGCAUGAGAUAAAGAAGUAUUGUCAGUCGGGAGUUGAUGUCCCCUGCUCUCACUUUCCUAGCUUUCAUAGGUCCAUGUGCAGCCUUGGUGAUACUUGAGGAAACUUUCCUUGCUUUCGUUUUUGCAGAAAUUCCAGCAAGAAGAUUAUCAACUACUUUUUCUCCUCGCAUCCCGGUUUACAGAAUGGUUUGUUGUACACAUGCCUUUGUGAAGUCAGCAGGAGCUCAAAAAUCGGUUGGUUUGUUGGUUGUACCUGGAACUAUUCAGCUCUUUGGAGAUGGUGCUGUGGGCUCCCUUUUUGCGGGGCUCCGACCUGCUGAAAUUGAAGAGGGUUAAGUCUUUGCUCACAUUUAGGUCUGGACCAGACUCCAGUCUACCUUCCUGUUAGAUACCAGCACUGCUGCCCUCUCCACAGCUCUGCCUGACACUGCCUCUCUUGGUAACCUCACCAGUAGUCACCAAACUUGCAUGUGCUCUCUGCUCCCCUGGUUUACCCAACCCUGCUUGCUUCCCUUCCUUGCCACCUCUCAUCACAAAUAACAUUGAUGCACAGCAGUGAAUAAACACUUCUUUAUAGAGAAAAAUAAAACUGUCUCUGAUGUGCCAUCCGUUGCCUGAUGGGUUUGCUGAUCUGUUGCCAAUUCUUUUCAUUUCUUAGAUUACUGCUCCUCAAGACAAGAGCUGUGUAUUUAGUGCCUGUGUGCCUCUGCCAAGUAGAUGGUAUGUACAUUAGACUGCGAGACUGUAAUGUGCAGAGAGCUCAGCUCCUUUAGCUGCUCUCUGGGACUGGUCUUUACAACUGUAGGACUUAGCAGCCCAAGACAGCUAAACAAGGUAUUGCUUUUUGCUUAUUCCAACCACAUCCAAGCAUUUUUAUCUGUAUCACAGCAAGGAAAAUAAGGAAUACCACUCUCACAGUUAAUUUUUAUGGCUGAUUAAUUAGCCCAAAGAGUAUUAAAUUGUGCUAAUGUAGUUUGCCUCUUCGAUGCUGUCUUUUGACUUCAAUGGAACUUAAUACGUGCUUAAAGUUAACUACAUGCCUAAGUGCUGUGGUGAAUCGGGGCCUAGGGCAUUAAUUAGAACUUGGCUCAGAUUUACUUUCAAGGCUUUUUUCUCCUCUUUUUUUUUUUUUAACUCUUCAGAGCUCAGCAGUUUAAUUGGUAUGCAGAUGUUCCCCUUUAUUGCUGGUAGAAGCCUCUGUCACUGUUCUGAAGGUACUCAGACAUCAAGGCUGGUACAGUGGGCAGGAAGAAACCCCCCCUGAAGGCUUUCAAGCUUUGUGGGAAAUAAUGAUGUAUGAGACAGGGAUUCCUUUGGAACCUGAAGGGAACAUGACAGAUAGAAUAAUAUGGGAGGAAAACAUUGUCUUCACAAUUGAGACUGAUGGUCUCAUCUUGUCUCCUUGUUAUUGUUACCAACCAAGACUGAGAUGAGCUUUCUUACGAAGAACUUCAUUUCGUGGCAGGUUCUAUAUGUUGGACGCACUGUGCUCAGUGGUAGCUUUCCAUCCAAGGUACAGAUAUUGACAGGCUCUGAGGAACUCUUUGGGAUGGUGCUUUAGCUUAAAACCUAAAAUUCCUUCCAGCAUUCAGAUGCAUUUUGUCAGGAGUGACAGUUGCAAUUUGAUAAUCUUUUACCACUUUGCCUGUCUAUCUCAAACAGCUAGCUGGAGGGGAGAAACCCAGAGUUGUUGGGCACAGGAGUGUCAGCUUUAUGAGUCAGCUUUUCUCACACUUUAUUAAUUUCACUUUCCAGUGGUUAGUGCAUGUUUGGAAGAGACAACUGAUUUGUACGGAUCUGUGUAGGAUGGAGCAAAGCUGGAACUAAAGGAGCGCAAGUUGACAGCAGUGCAAUAGCUCUAAUUGACAGAUACCAAAGGCACUAUUUAAAGCAACUUUUCUUCUGCUGUUAAAGUUAAAAAUGGCCCCCAAUUUGUCCUCAGAUUCCCAUGUUAAAAAGAAAUGUUUGCAAGUAUAUUAAUUUAAAAUGGAUUAGCUGGAAUAUUAAGUGCUCCUUUUAUGUACUUGCAUUUUCAAGUUAGAUGAUCCAAAAUGCUUCUGUGCAAGGUACAGGAAGAUGACUGUUUCUUAACUCCUCCAGAGUAAAAGCUGUCUUUCAGGGGAUACUUUGCACAUGUGAGAUUUGCACUAGUGGUUUUUUGGCACUCACAGUUUCAUCAGAAAUGCAUUUCAGCAAAUGGGAGGCAGAAGGAUUAAUACACACGCCGCGUGUCGUGGGUGCAAAAAUGCAAGUAGAAAUUACAACCAUCAUUGGAAGGUCUGGGAAAAUAAGCCUUCCUGGAUGCGAGCAGGACAAAUUAGGAAAUAUCAGAUUUCUUUUACAACUGGCUGUUACUCUUUACAUUUCUGGAGAACUGGGAUCUUGCUGUUAAUCUUACAAAAAUAGAUGCUGUGGUGAAGCCUCAGGCAUGAAUAAAAUUGGAUGUUAAUCUUAAAGCAGAUUUUUUACAGCUAUGCGCUCAGAGCCAGUGAAUCCAAAUGAUUUGGAAACUCUGUGUUUGUUACUUAUUUAGAUCAAAGUGCUGUGGGGAAACAGGUCAGCGGCCCAGGUACAUAUUGUAACGUUUGAGGCUCCUUAAAGUUGAGCAGAUAAGGGCAGCAAACAUUAAACAUCUCUGGCUUCACGCAAAUAAUAGGCAAAGCUGAAAAAAGCCUGCUGACAAGAGGAGUGGGUGUUGGUGGGUGACUUGCUGCAGUUUUAGAGCUGUUAAGUGUAGGUUUUUUAGCAUUUUCAUUAUUUAAAAGUGGAGUGGUAGUUUCUUCACUCCCUCUGAAAAGUUACCAAUUUACUCUGAAAUACAGGGUAACCCGCAGUGAUUUAACAGAUUUGUAAUGUGCUGUAGAGUGAUUUCAAGUAACAGACUCCCUCCUUCUCGCCAAGUUUCCCACCGUCUCAGCUCUGCCUCCGCUCCUUUCUCUGUGUACAUCUGCACCAAAAUGCAAAGCAGGGGCUGCCCCACGUGUGACUUUCAUCAGCCUAGCUCCGGUGUCAACAUGCUGGGCAGCUUUGACCGCUCGUGCCCAUGCGGGUUUGCCUUAUUCCCAGUGUUCAGAAAGAAGAGGCUGAGUUAAUGACGUUUGGACGUUGGAAAUCCCACCACAGAGCAUGGCGUGGUUCAAAAGCACCUGCCACUCUGCUAGUACCACUGCAAGCAGACAGUCCUUCCUGGUAUGCAGACCUUCAGCUAAGUUCAUGGGAAGUACCAACGGAGCGUGGUGUCGGUCCCCAGGGUGCUCCUGGAAUCUGGGCAAUAUCAUCAUCUGCACACCUCUCUGUCUGAUUCAGAGAAAGCAGCUGAGCUGUGUUCGCAAAUAGCUGUCCAAUAAGACAGGCUUCAUGCGAAGAUGAGAGGCAGCUGAGACAUUUUCCCUGGCUGUCAAGCUGAAUGGGUCUCAGCCAGCUCAUGCUCCAGCCAGUUCAUUCCUACCUAUUGCUUGUGUUCAGUUGCCAUGCCUAUGGAAGGAUAUUUAAGCUAGAAGCCCCUUAGCAUGAUAAUAUUUGAAUAUGACAGGACCUUGCUGAAUAGAAGCUGGCCUUGUAUUUACUCUGAACAGUCUCUGGUGGUUUGUGGUAGGGAAUUGGGAGCUGGGGCUGAAGCCACAGCCUCUAGGACCAAACCACAGAAUUUACACACUCCUGCCAAGGCCUGCCAAUCUGUGUUCCUAGCUGAAGGUCUGUGUCACCGCUAUUUUGUGUGCUAGUGUCUUUGCUGUUUGAGGGAGGAAUCUAUUUUGUUCAGUAUAGCAAUACCGUCUAGCCUAGUUUAAUUUUAUUAGCUGCUGAUAACGUGUUACUAUUCUGCACGUCCAUGAGCUUGUUUAGUGUCAAUAACCAAGGGCAGAAAUACUUGAAUGGGAGCCUAGAUGGAGAUGCUUUCUCUUUCUCUAUUCCUCAUGAGAACCCACCUGCAGUACCACCACAUCCAGCUCUCAGACCCCCAUCACAAGAAACACAAGGGCCUGCUAGAGGGAGUCCAGAGGAGGGCCGCAAAAAUGAUCAGGGGGUUGGAAAGCCUCUCCUAUGAAGAAAGCCUGAGAGAGGUGGGGUUGUUCAGCCUGGAGAAGAGAAGGCUCCAGGGAAACCUUACUGCAUCUUUUCUUAAAGAAGACUUAUAAGAAAGAUAGACUUUCUACAAGGGCAUGCAGUGAUAGGAUGAGAGAUAAAGAUUUUAAACUAAAAGCGGGUAUAUUUAGAUUAGAUGUAAGGAAGAAAUUCUUUAUUGUGUUGGUGGUGAGGUACUGAAACAGGUUGCCCAGAGAAAUUAGGGAUACCCCAUCCCUCGAAAUGUUCAAAGCCAGGUUGGAUGGGGAUUUGGGCAACCUGGUCUAGUGGGAGGCCUGUGGCAGGGGGUUGGAACUAGAUGAUCUUUUCGGUCUCUUCCAACCCAACCCCAACCAUUCUAUGAUUCUGUGCUGAUAUUCUGGAGGACUCCAAGGUUUCUUUUGCCUUUCUUCCUUUCCCUGAUCUAGAAGGCCAGGAGAACGCUUAUCCACUCAUAAUAAAUGAUUCAAGCUGCAUGAGACUGAAAGGUCACUACAAGUUUCUGUUACUCUCCUGGUGUGACUGGUACAAAUCACAUCUUCUAGCAAACUUUAAGCAAGUAUGCUUCUGUUACAAGGUGAGAUGGUAAGUUAGUGCCACUGACGUCUGUUGGGUAGAGCAUUUUAUUUUGAAACCAUUCUUGCUCUGAAGGCUCAGUCAACUGCUCUUAAUCUGGGAGCCUACAGUGUAGGUAAGUGUGGUCAUGAGGCUGAACAGCUCAUGCAACUCUCCUUGACUUGAACUGGAGAAAGGCCAGAGUUUGUUCACUUUCACAUUCUGUAACUGAGAAAAAUGAAUUCUCUUCUAGGGAAGCAGUAAUUCCUUCCAUUCUUCCCAAAUAGAUGAUGACUAAAGAAGGUCUGAGCUGAGUAUAGAUAUUCUUACAUUUACUUAAAAUGAACGUAGCUCAUAACUCUUAUUUUAGCACCAAUCUGGAACACUACUGUGAACAGAUUUACAAAGUCUGCCUGUUUCUUACCUUGGCAUUCUGGUAAUUAUACUCAUUCUUGCACUGAUACUUGGGAGUUUGAUGAAGCAAAUGCCUGAAAGGUGAGUAGGUGAAAGGUUGAUAGUUUUCUAUACAAACCUGUUCUUUUUGUGUACGCCAUAAUUUUCUUUCAGUUCUAAAGUAUGAUUUUCUUCUUCUGAUACUAAGGAGUGAGGCACUGGGUUUUUUUUUGUUUUGUUUUGUUUUUUUUCUUCUAGCAUGUAUGUCAUCAGCAGUUAUUAACUUUGUUCUAGUUGCAGGGUCCUUUGUUGCUGGAUUGAAAAAACCUACUAACUUCAACCAUGUGUUUUUAGACUAGACACUUAACAAAAACCUUUACUGCAUUUAUAAAAUGAGCAGAUUUAAUCUGAAAGUCAUUGAAAGAAACCAAUAAAGAACUUCCUUGAUGUGAUUUCUGGACUUACUAUGUGGAACUCUAUCACAUGUUUUCACGUAUUGGGCAUAAGGGCAUUUGAAAGGAUAAAGAAGGUUAAAUGUAGAUGAUAAUGAAAAUAUUAUCAGUAUUUAUAGGUCAGGCAAUAAUGUCAGUGUAUUAAUGUGAUAUGAAAUAUUUCUUUGAUUUCAUGGACAGUGCCUUACUGUAUAUAGCUUGCUGCAAUAGUGUGGUCCUUGAUAUACAUAGUUUAACUUUUAAAAUGUGUUAGUAAUCUGUUUGCCUUGAAAUGCCUUAUGAAAAGUAUACUUAUUAUAGAACACAUACAGUUGCUAUCUGCCUAGUGCUAUCUCUGUUAUAGCAACUUAAGCUAAGAGAACACAUUUGGAAGAAAACCUCUUCCAAGCAGAGAAUUUUUUUUUGUUAUUGUUGCUGUGAAACUGUUGCUGGAAACGUUCAUUAACAAUUAGAGAUGUAGUCUUUCAACUGGACUUCCUUCAUUCAAAUUAUAUACAGAUUGCAAGACUCUUCAAGCCUACGGUCAUGUCAGGAGUGUGAGGAGUAAGAUAUUAGCCUUUCUUUUAAUCAGGAGAUCUUUGGAAUAGGUAUCUUGUUCACCAAAUUGCCUUCCUUUUCAUCUGUCACCAAAUAACAUCUUUGUAGAACUGCAGUAACUGGAAAGAAAGAAAAUACUGGAAAGUAUUUCUGUAGUUAGAACUGGGCUUGGCAUAUUUUCACCCUUCUGGAAAAGAGAUGCUGGUUUUGGUUCUUUGCUUUUUAAUCCCCUUUUUCAUGCCGUUGAGUACUGGAACAAAAGAAUAAAGGUGAGUACUGAGUAAACUGUGAAUUCUUUUUGGAUCAGACUUCAAGAGUCUGUUCUGACACACAUUUUGGUGUCACUUCUUCUGAGGGACUGUACUGACAAGCUCUCAGAACAUAUUCUUCCACGACAACUUCACAUAAUUUAGUAAACAUUUGAAUAAAUUUCAUACCAUCUUAUUGAAGUAGGCAGAAUACUUAUUUCUUGAGUAACCGAGCUUAAGUUAAAUGCUCAUAAUAAUUAAAACUAUAGAUUACAAUUAGUGGCUUGCCAUUCUAUUGCAGAAGUAGGUUGAAUGAAAAUCUCUGUCAAAAAUUAGAGGUUAAACACUGAAUUAAGAUACCAAAUAAUAGUGUGUCAGGAGUAUAGCCUUCUAUUUAGGACAGUGUUGUCAUGCACCUUGCUUGUACAAGGUCUGGAAACACUGUGAGACUUGGACAAACACAGUGCAGCCUCAGACUGUAGGGAUGUUACCUCUUUUUGAGCACGAUAUGCUCAGUCUCUUGGUUGAUGGAAAUAUGUCCAGUAUCUAAGGAGCUUGAUAGUGUGGGAGACAGCCACAGAUGCUCGAUUAGAAUACCCGAACGUUGUAGCAUGGGGCAGGAUAUAGCUUCUGUUCCCUUCUGCACCUCUGAAAUUGGUGUAAUAUGAAUUAGAUUGUCAUCAAGUUUAAUUUGUGAAGACCCAUAAAACAGAAAUGGCUCUACAUCGGUGCUAAAACUUACGCCACUUGCAUUAAAUGCAUGAGUAGCAAUCAGUAUUUGUUAAAACAAGUGCUUUUCCAGAAAUAUUUAAGUAAAAUCUCUAGGUGAAAUCUGAGCAAAAUUUGGAUUGGUACCUGCAAAAAUGGUGACCUCCUCCCUUCUAAGUUCGAUUUUCCUCUUGACGAUAGCCCUUCACCUAGAUGCCUCCCCAGGCAGCUGUAGUGAAUGGAUCUGGCCACAGAGGGAAUCUGGCCCACCGAAUUCCUUUUCUUUCUGUGCAAUUGAAUGAAAAGCAUGUGUCUUUUGAAGAACAGCGACUGAAAGAAAUAUUAAUGACUGCUGGGACAUCUACAGAAAAGCAUAAAAAAAUUACUACAGCAGGGAAGACAAAGGGGCUCUGUUAACUCUUUCUUGUAGGUUGUAUAUAUUAAUAGUAACGACCAAAGGUUCGUAUUUUUGCAGGGAAACACACAAGGCUUUGAAUUGUAUUGUUUUAAUUGCAGCUAGCUGAAUGAAUUAACUGGAAAGUCACACACAGUGCUUUGAUUGUCUAACUCUGUAUGUGAGGCUUUGGGAACAGUUUGUUAUUAGAAAAGAACAGCACUAACAAGAAAUCAGCCAACAUAUAAUUGCUGGGCUGAGGGACAGUUUGGGGAAAGCUGAUAUUUAUUUAUAAACUAUUAAAUAAAAAGCACAUAAUAUGCGGGUCAUCUCUCACUGCCUCCACACUUCAGAUAUUACUCAUCCUCCUAAGCUUCGUGUUCUACGGGGCAUUGCUUCUUAUAACCACUUCAGGAGUUGAAACCACCUACACCUAGGGAAGGAGAUGCUUGGACCUCUGUUACAAUGGCAGUUUUGGUUAUGAGACUGCACCAAAGGACAUGACUUUUCAGUUCAAGGAAAGAAUUCUUGACCAGGGAGCUGCUAUGUGCCUAAAAUACACACAAGCACUCGGGACUCUGUUUAGGUAGCCUCAAUACUGGUCAGUGUUUCCUACUGACAGCAGCCAUCUAUCCAAUACCCUAAAUAAAAGCUUAAGUAAGGCUUAAGAACAAUUUUGGCAUUCAUUUUAGUGGGAUUCUCAAAAACAUUUUCUUCCCAUCAGUUUGGGAAUUAUGCAACUUCUGGUUGUCUCUUGUGCUUUUCUCUGCCUGCUUAGUGCUAUAUGACCUUAGAAUUACAGCCACUUUGGAAGAUACAGAGAGGAGGAAGGUGGCGGCUGGGCUCACCAAGAGGCUGGAAUGCAUUUCAUCCUCAAUAGUUUUGGCUAUCAAAUACCUGUUCCUGCUUCUCUGGGGGAUGGAACCAUGGCUCUUUCAUCUAUGAGCUUUUCUCUAGGAAAACAAACAUAACUAUUAUCAUUGGCCCAGCUCUUCACAGCUAUACAGUUUCCUCUCAUUUCCAGCCGAGAGCUAAGAAGCCAAAAUUAUGAUGGAUUAGCUCUCUGAGGCUUUCUAGCUGUGUGGAAAGAGUAUUCUCUCCUCCAUCUUUCCUUUAGAAGCAGAAGAGGUGACUUCUGGGGACACACACAGCCCAUCUCCCUUGCCUGGCCACCCUUUCAAGGGGCAGCCAUAGGUGUUGGCAGCUGUGGCACUCACAGUCAGGUGCACAGGGCAGCCAAUCCUCUCUGCUUCAGAGGUGCCUGUUGCAAAGCAGGUGCACUGACACCUAAGCAGAUCCUCACAUGGCCGUGCAACAAGUGUGUGAGCAACGUCUGGGCCUCGCAGUGAGGUGUGUGUCCUGCAGACCAGGAGGCCCUGGGGACAGAAAGGUGCACCGUCACCUGGGUAGAUGGCACUGCCAGACCCAGCUUUGGGCUCGCUGAGCUGCUAUAUGCAGAUGAUGUUUAUGCUGUACAAACAAAUAGUACUGUUAGACCAUUCAAAUAGCGUUCAUGCAGCUUUUAACUGGUAGAGACUUUAUUUUAUGAUUUCAUCUACAGGCUUGUUAGAAACUUCUGUAUCCACACCAUCGGGCAGACUUUCUCCGUGAGGCCCAGCUGAGGUGAUGUGAAAAUUGCAUCACUAUUAUCAGCUACCUACCCAGUGGGUGCAAGACUGUUGUGCCAGAAGGUGCUUGAGAGGCGGAGCUGGGCAGGAUUUGACUUUGCACAGCUCUUGCUAAGAAUUGCUAAAUAUCUCUUUAACUGGUUUUUGACAUUUGAAUGUAUUUUCCUCAAGUUAGUUAUUCUUCUACAAAGGAACGUAGUUGCAUUUAUGGAAGAUCUUGACUUUUACAGCGUGUGAGGCCCAUGCAGUUUCCCCUGUGUACGCGUGUUGCCUGCAUAAUUACCAACAGCUGUAACAAAAACCCAGUUUUGUUAAAGGAGCUUUCAACAGAAAGGUAGAAGUGAUAUGCAACAGAAGAAAAAUUAAAAACAAGAGGGCUUGGAAAACGUUUAUAUACUUAGGAAAAAAAUUCAUUUUUAAUCCUGUUCUAUUAUUCUCUCUCUGAUAUUAAAAUCUAUAUAAAGCACUGCUGAUUUCAAUCGGCUCAACGCGAGGUAAUUCAGAACUCCC
Molecule: long non-coding RNA, 12989 nt
Filed under: Gallus gallus (chicken)
Lineage: Eukaryota; Metazoa; Chordata; Aves; Galliformes; Phasianidae
Source: RNAcentral